AGCAGCCGCGGUAAUUCCAGCUCCAAUAGCGUAUAUUAAAGUUGUUGCAGUUAAAAAGCUCGUAGUUGAAUUUCGGGAUUAGUAGGUUGGUCGUGCCUCUGGUAUGUACUCGCCUUACUGAUUCCUCCUUCUUGAAGAACUGUAAUGCCAUUAAUUUGGUGUUGCAGGGAAACAGGACUGUUACUUUGAAAAAAUUAGAGUGUUUAAAGCAGGCCAUUGCCUGAAUACAUUAGCACGGAAUAAUGAAAUAGGACGUUGAUCCUAUUUUGUUGGUUUCUAGGGUUGACGUAAUGAUUAAUAGGGAUAGUUGGGGGCAUUAGUAUUCAAUUGUCAGAGGUGAAAUUCUUGGAUUUAUUGAAGACUAACUACUGCGAAAGCAUUUGCCAAGGAUGUUUUCAUUAAUCAAGGACGAAAGUUAGGGGAUCGAAGACGAUCAGAUACCGUCGUAGUCUUAACCAUAAACUAUGCCGACUAGGGAUCGGAUGAUGUUAAUUUUUAAUGACUCAUUCGGCGCCUUACG
This 520-nucleotide ribosomal RNA is filed under the name uncultured Glomus. RNAcentral describes it as "SSU rRNA". It matches the Rfam family "Eukaryotic small subunit ribosomal RNA", at positions 569 to 1092 of the family's 1831-position model. Lineage: Eukaryota; Fungi; Glomeromycota; Glomeromycetes; Glomerales; Glomeraceae. The record is from RNAcentral.